AAAUAAAAGGCGUUUUGAACUCGCAGUUUGACAAAAAAGAACUCGCACAAAAAGUUCAAAUUGCAGAGAUACAGAGAGUUUCUUCUAUGUUGUUGACUGCAUCUGUUCCUGUGAUUCAAGUUUGUAAAAACCACAGAAAAAUUUUGCAGGUCUUUACAGUGAUUUCAGAAAUCAUGGCGGAUGUUUGCAUCAUAUUCCUUUUCAGAUCUUGGCAUGAUUUACGACGCCACCAAACAUCCAUCGGUUUCCAGAUCUUGUCAAAUGGAAUUGAAACAAAAUCUGCAUUUUGUAAAAUUAAAGACAUCCGCCCCGGGGGAAGGGAGGCGGGAGGGGUUGCAAAGUGCAAAGUGCAAACAGCACAGCCUGUUAACUAAGAACGUACUCAAAAUGACUUUCCUUUGUUUACUAUGAUACUGUGCCAGCAAGAAGUGAAGAUGAAAGACCUGUCUUCGUCUGGACGUUUUCGAGCAUUCCUUGUCAGUUGUUAAAACCUGUCUAUUUUGUCUCGUCAGUUUUGAAUUUCCGACUUGAAUACCCAUGCACGGGUUAAAUCAUCACAAAUCCGUGGGGUUGAUGUGUUUAUAUGCGGGUGUCUCGUAGCAUUCCGGAGCAGGACGCGGCCUCCAUCUGGAGCCCCUCCCGAACCCAGACAAUAUCGAGGCCACUGCUCAAACUGGCCUCCAUAGUAUAUUUCGUUGAUCAGUUCCCAUCCUCCGUGCGAGAAAAAGAAACAAAAACAAUGAAAUAAUGCAACCACAACCACCACCAACUGAAGAGAAGGUACGCUGCCGCAACCACCAACUGUUCAUGUACAGCCACCAUAGCCCUAUACGCUCAUCAUGCACCGUAUAUCAGAUCAAUAUUAUGGGGUUGGGAGGAGGAUGGUUUUCUAGGUUUGUUCAUUUUCAGUUUAUUUAUUUCUUGUUUUAAGAUUUUAAAUGAUAGCAACAGCUGCAUGGGGGAGGCGUUGCUACAUACAUGUAUACACACACACACACACAUGCAUAUAGAGAUAUAUAUAUAUAUAUAUAUAUAUAUAUAUGUAUUGUUUGGACAGAAGAAGGCUCGCUCUCAAUCGCAUGUGCAACGCCACGUGAACUCUUUGUCAAUAAUUCGGUUUCAAGAAAGAUACGUUGUCGGAGGGAUGGAACGUGAACAUGAAGACGAGAGCACCAUUACCCAUCCAUCCCACGGACUGGAAACUGGUCACUCUUCGGUCAAUUACGUAGGAUUGCGAUGUAAUAUCUUGUCGGAAAUCCAGAACAAAUGGUCCGGGGAUGUACUGCUCAGUGUACGCUACAGCCUCUUCUUUUGCUUAACCAAAUGCCACUCACUCCUCCGCAAACCGCGUGAAAAAGCAGAAAGUGAUGGAAUUCUAACACACGCUUAAUCAAGAUGUUGCUUUCAUGUCCUUUUCCUUUUGUCCCUCAUCAUUUAAAUGCGAAAAAAACCAGAAAAAAAAAAAAAAAAACUUCCCUCCUCAAAUCAAGUCAUGAUGAUGUUUAUUGAAUGGAAAAUCAAUUUAUUUACUCAUCUUUUACACAAUAUCAAACUGACGAGUGCUGUUGUUAUCACCCUUACCCUUUUCUAAUUAAUGUUCCGGUUGCCUCCUUGUUUUAGCGUUCCAAGUUAAAAGACACGCCGUAGAACAUUGGGAAGAUAACAGGGAGAAAUUACCUCACGGACCAAUAUCUAGAUUAUACCACUAUAUAUAAGGCUAGAAUAAGGAGAUACACAUGCUAUGGCCUAUACCAAAACAGAAACAAAAACUGGACAAAAACCCAAAAAAAA
This is a non-coding RNA of Coffea arabica (coffee), 1791 nucleotides long. The record is from RefSeq and is a predicted model, not a curated record. Lineage: Eukaryota; Viridiplantae; Streptophyta; Magnoliopsida; Gentianales; Rubiaceae.